This is a long non-coding RNA of Magnolia sinica, 675 nucleotides long. RefSeq lists it as uncharacterized. NCBI's taxonomy places the organism in Eukaryota, Viridiplantae, Streptophyta, Magnoliopsida, Magnoliales, Magnoliaceae. The transcript has 2 exons. The record is from RefSeq and is a predicted model, not a curated record.
UCAUCUCAAUAUCACUUGCUUACUGAAAAUAUAAAUCUUGAAAUUUGAUAUUGUAUAUACUAUUCAGUGGCAUUUUUGUAUGAAUGCAAACCUUUUUUCUUCAACGGGCCUAAAGACUUGAUUUUGUAGGAAGCCAAAUCCUUGGAGAAAGAUUCUAUUUGUCACAUUUGGGCAUGGGAAAUGUGAUUCUGUUGAAUCCAGAAAAUUUGUUUGGAUACUGGGAAAGAAUUGAAAGGAAUUCUAUGGUGCAUAGCUGGCUGGUUGUAGAAUUGUUACUGAAAUACAAAGAAUUCACUGUUAAAACAGGGGACAAUAGGAAAGCAACAAAAACUGCGAUCCUCGCCAGAGUGACAACAUUUGUAGGGGUGGCCAUCUUGGGUUCAAGCUUAUACUACUGUAAAUGGGGCAAGAAGAGCACAACGAGGUAAACUUCUACCCGAGAGUCACAAAAUCCUAGACAUUCUUAGGCCUUAUUUGGUAGACACCUAAAAAUGAUUUGAUCUCAUUUUAAUUAACAAUAAUUAUGUAAACUUCUACCUGAGGAUUUAGUUAUCCUUUAAAAAAAAAAAAAAAAACACCAAGGAUAUUUGUUAUAGCUUCACUGUAAUCUUUCUUGUUUUUAACAAAAUGAUUAACGGACGACAUUCUCUUCUAUUCCAUCAAGUUGUUCAUGCA